This 22-nucleotide small nuclear RNA is filed under the name Arabidopsis thaliana (thale cress). RNAcentral describes it as "snRNA_13917". The record is from RNAcentral. Lineage: Eukaryota; Viridiplantae; Streptophyta; Magnoliopsida; Brassicales; Brassicaceae.
CUUUGAUCGUACGGACCUGAAA